ACUUCCCCCUCUCCCACCAAGCCUUGCACGCCCCCCUCUCUCUUGCGCUCCUAUCCCCAUCUCUCCAUGCAGUCGCCGCCGCCACCUCCAAUUCUGUCCACUUCUCCAUUGUCGCCGCCAUCGCCGACCCGUCCAUGCCUCUCUCACCUCCGCCGAUUGCUCGCCGCCGCCCAAACAUCCCGGCUAGCAAUCGCCCCUGGCGUUGCUCCUCUUCUCCCCGCCUGCACUUUUCUCUGCUGCCGCCCAUGGCGCGUUCUCUGUGCCGCGUGUGCCUGAGUUGGGGUGGGGCGUGGUUGGAAGGAGGGCGUGCGUGGAGAACGCGAGCGAGAGAAAGGAUCACCGGGGGCAAAGAAAUUGAGGGAAUGUGGGGCCAUUGGAGGAGGUGCGGCCGGGGGAUAUGUGUGGUGGACGGCGGCGGGGCGGGCCAGUGGGAGUGCGGCCGUAGGCGGGGCGAUGGUGUGAUGGCCGGCAUGGUGGUGGUACAGGAACCGCAGCAGCGCGCUGGGGCUGGGGCUGUGCGGGCAUAUGUGCGUGUGCUGUGCUAGGUGAUGAGAGAUUGAGAGAGAGAGUUGGGAGAGAUUGAGAGUGAGAUGAUUGAGAGAUUGACAAAGAGAUGAUUGAGAUAUUGAGAGUAAGAUGCGCGAGAUUGAGAGUCUAUUUGUACUUUCUGCUGCAAUCUGUGUUCUCUGAUUAUACACUGUGCUACUGCAGUUUAUAAUUAUUGAGGCUUCAAAUGCUGUUGCUGCUGCUAUCUAUGCUUGCUCUUAUAUAGAGAUUGUGCUGCUAUUUGUUAUUGUUGCUAUCCUACGCAGAGGCUUCAAAUUGGUGUCGAGCACAACAUGUCGACCUCGAAGAAGAGCUUGAACAACCUGCCCCCACCCCUCCUGUGAAAGCAAGCUUGAAGGUGUAGUCAUUCAGGUUCGGAUUCAAAUGGUAGUUAUAGGAUAUUGUUAACGUAUAGAAGAGGGUAGAUGUUUUAGGGGAACUUCUGGAGUUGGAAUUUUUUUAGCAUGGUAGGUGCCAGGUGGUCGAUUGUGGAACAGAAGGCGUGGCGAUAGGGCAGAGGGGUGGACGCUACAAGUGGUUGGGGUCACGAAGAAGAGGCAGGCUGCAGCUCGCCAGCACCUUUACAACUGGGAUGGUGCGACCCAUGUUUCCGUACUCAUGGUGGUCACCGCUGCUUCAUGCUGUCGAGGUUGCCACCAAUGAAGCCCUCCACCGCCACCCCCUGCAAUGAGCUUUAACCGCUGCCUUCCCCUGGAAUGCCACCGCCCGUAGAUUCCAUUUAAGGAUUAGUUUUGCUCAUCAGGACGCCCACCAGGUCAAUUAUGUUUCAAGUUUUGAAGGUUACAAAGACUUGGAGUUCGGUGGUUCGGAGGAGUUGUACAGCAACCUGAUCAUGCUCUCAGAAUUCUAGGGGUAAAGCUACACAUGAGGAAUUGAGAAUUCUGAGUGCUUUCCAAUAUGUCUACAAAUAAGUAGCUUUUGUCUGUUAUGUUUUAUUUUUAAUUUUUUUACUUCCUGGCCUGCUGUGUGGAUUUAAUAUCUAGGUGUUUCAUAUUAUUAAAGAGUAUGGUAGGGGUAAACCAGACCAUGAUGCUCUUUGUAAUACAAGAAUAAAGUUUGGUGUGGAUGUGCACACUUCUGUUAUUGAUUUGCAUAUACAUCGAGCUAUAAUAUUCUUCAA
Triticum urartu is the source of this 1687-nucleotide long non-coding RNA. RefSeq lists it as uncharacterized. The record is from RefSeq and is a predicted model, not a curated record. Lineage: Eukaryota; Viridiplantae; Streptophyta; Magnoliopsida; Poales; Poaceae.